Molecule: unclassified non-coding RNA, 144 nt
Filed under: Hymenoscyphus kathiae
Lineage: Eukaryota; Fungi; Ascomycota; Leotiomycetes; Helotiales; Helotiaceae
Description: partial internal transcribed spacer 2
Source: RNAcentral
UGACCAAUCCCGCUCGCGGGGUCUUGGGCACCGCCUCUGGGCGGGCCUCAAAAUCAGUGGCGGUACGGCCGGGCUCUGAGCGUAGUAAAUCUUCUCGCUACAGGGUCCCGGGUGGCACUGGCCAGCAACCCCCAAUCUUUUACA